RNAcentral lists this ribosomal RNA (503 nucleotides) under Dermatemys mawii. RNAcentral describes it as "partial 16S ribosomal RNA". It matches the Rfam family "Bacterial large subunit ribosomal RNA", at positions 1853 to 2571 of the family's 2925-position model. Lineage: Eukaryota; Metazoa; Chordata; Testudines; Dermatemydidae. The record is from RNAcentral.
UAAUGCCUGCCCAGUGAUAUAUUAAACGGCCGCGGUAUCCUAACCGUGCAAAGGUAGCGUAAUCACUUGUCUUUUAAAUAAAGACUAGAAUGAACGGCAAAACGAGAUUCUACCUGUCUCUUACAAACAAUCAGUGAAAUUGAUCUCCUUGUGCAAAAGCAAGGAUAAUACUAUAAGACGAGAAGACCCUGUGGAACUUCAAAUAUAUAUAUCAACCACCACCUAUACCACUCUACGGACUCACAGUAGACCAUAAAACUGAAAUAUACUUUUUGGUUGGGGUGACCUCGGAGUACAGGAAAACCUCCGAAAAAGAAUAUUAUUCUAUACCUAGACACACAACUCAAAGUGCCCACAGCAAAAUAGAUCCAAUACAAUUGAUCAACGGACCAAGCUACCCCAGGGAUAACAGCGCAAUCCUAUCCUAGAGUCCCUAUCGACGAUAGGGUUUACGACCUCGAUGUUGGAUCAGGACAUCCUGAUGGUGCAGCCGCUAUCAAGGG